Molecule: microRNA, 22 nt
Filed under: Drosophila ananassae
Lineage: Eukaryota; Metazoa; Arthropoda; Insecta; Diptera; Drosophilidae
Description: Dan-Mir-2-P6a_5p* (star (passenger))
Source: RNAcentral
AGAGAAUAGUGGCUGUGCUGUA